UGACCUCUCCAGCCUAGCUGGGUGUUGGGCUUCGCCGUCUGGCGGGCCUUAAAAGCAGUGGCGGUGCUCUGAAGCUCUACGCGUAGUAAUAUUUUCUCGCGCCAGGGUCGGACGAGAGGCUGGCCAUCAACCUCAACUUUCUCA
RNAcentral lists this unclassified non-coding RNA (144 nucleotides) under uncultured fungus. RNAcentral's name for it is "sequence contains ITS2". Lineage: Eukaryota; Fungi. The record is from RNAcentral.